CUGCUGCCUUCCGUAGGAGUUUGGGCCGUGUCUCAGUCCCAAUGUGGCCGUCCACCCUCUCAGGCCGGCUACCGAUCGUCGCUUUGGUGGGCCGUUACCCCGCCAACUGGCUAAUCGGACGCGGGCUCAUCCCGUACCACCGGAGUUUUCAAGGCCGGGGCAUGCGCCCCCGCCUGUCAUGCGGUGUUAGCACCUGUUUCCAGGUGUUAUCCCCCGGUACGGGGCAGAUUGCCCACGCGUUACUCACCCGUCCGCCACUAGGCCGCAUCCGCCCCGGG
This 278-nucleotide ribosomal RNA is filed under the name uncultured bacterium. Its description in RNAcentral is "partial 16S ribosomal RNA". The record is from RNAcentral.